AUUGAACGCUGGCGGCAGGCCUAACACAUGCAAGUCGAACGGUAACAGGAAGCAGCUUGCUGCUUCGCUGACGAGUGGCGGACGGGUGAGUAAUGUCUGGGACACUGCCUGAUGGCGGGGGAUAACUACUGGAAACGGUAGCUAAUACCGCAUAACGUCGCAAGACCAAAGAGGGGGACCUUAGGGCCUCUUGCCAUCGGAUGGGCCCAGAUGGGAUUAGCUAGUAGGUUGGGUAACGGCUCACCUAGGCGACGAUCCCUAGCUGGUCUGAGAGGAUGACCAGCCACACUGGAACUGAGACACGGUCCAGACUCCUACGGGAGGCAGCAGUGGGGAAUAUUGCACAAUGGGCGCAAGCCUGAUGCAGCCAUGCCGCGUGUAUGAAGAAGGCCUUCGGGUUGUAAAGUACUUUCAGCGGGGAAGAAGGGAGUAAAGUGAAUACCUUUGCUCAUUGACGUUACCCGCAGAAGAAGCACCGGCUAACUACGUG
RNAcentral lists this ribosomal RNA (490 nucleotides) under uncultured bacterium. RNAcentral describes it as "partial 16S ribosomal RNA". It matches the Rfam family "Bacterial small subunit ribosomal RNA", at positions 30 to 507 of the family's 1533-position model. The record is from RNAcentral.